CCUACGGGAGGCUGCAGUGAGGAAUAUUGGUCAAUGGGCGUAAGCCUGAACCAGCCAAGUCGCGUGAGGGAUGAAGGUUCUAUGGAUCGUAAACCUCUUUUAUAAGGGAAUAAAGUGUGGGACGUGUCCUAUUUUGUAUGUACCUUAUGAAUAAGGAUCGGCUAACUCCGUGCCAGCAGCCGCGGUAAUACGGAGGAUCCGAGCGUUAUCCGGAUUUAUUGGGUUUAAAGGGUGCGUAGGCGGAAUAUCAAGUCAGCGGUAAAAAUUCGGGGCUCAACCCCGGCCUGCCGUCGGAACUGGGUGCCUUGAGUGGGCGAGAAGUAUGCGGAAUGCGUGGUGUAGCGGUGAAAUGCAUAGAUAUCACGCAGAACCCCGAUUGCGAAGGCAGCAUACCGGCGCCCUACUGACGCUGAGGCACGAAAGUGCGGGUAUCGAACAGGAUUAGAUACCCUAGUAGUC
RNAcentral lists this ribosomal RNA (459 nucleotides) under uncultured bacterium. RNAcentral's name for it is "partial 16S ribosomal RNA". It matches the Rfam family "Bacterial small subunit ribosomal RNA", at positions 338 to 795 of the family's 1533-position model. The record is from RNAcentral.